CCAAACUUGGUCAUUUAGAGGAAGUAAAAGUCGUAACAAGGUUUCCGUAGGUGAACCUGCGGAAGGAUCAUUAUUGAAUACCACUUGAUAGGUUGUAGCUGGCCUCAUGAGGCAUGUGCACACCUGUCUUUUGUUAUAUUCAUCCACCUGUGCACCAAUUGUAGUCUUUGAGGGCAGAAAGCGGCCGACCGUGUCAGUCAACAGACUGGAUUAGAGGAAUGCAUGUGCAUUAUUAUAUUUAAUGCUGCAGCUUUCCUUAGUAUCAGGUCGUGAUCUCCCUUGGGGUCUAUGCCUUUUAUCUAUAAACCAUAUAGUAUGUUGCAGAAUGUAUCUUAUAAAGGCCUUGUGCCUAUAAAAAUCUAUACAACUUUCAGCAACGGAUCUCUUGGCUCUCGCAUCGAUGAAGAACGCAGC
This 414-nucleotide unclassified non-coding RNA is filed under the name uncultured fungus. Its description in RNAcentral is "partial contains small subunit ribosomal RNA, internal transcribed spacer 1, and 5.8S ribosomal RNA". The stretch from base 1 to 73 matches the Rfam family "Eukaryotic small subunit ribosomal RNA", at positions 1759 to 1831 of the family's 1831-position model. Lineage: Eukaryota; Fungi. The record is from RNAcentral.